AGGACGAACGCUGGCGGCGUGCUUAACACAUGCAAGUCGAGCGGAAAGGCCCUUCGGGGUACUCGAGCGGCGAACGGGUGAGUAACACGUGAGUAAUCUGCCCCUAGCUCUGGGAUAGCUCCGGGAAACCGGGAUUAAUACCGGAUACGACCACCUUAGACAUCUUUUGUGGUGGAAAGAAUUUCGGCUAGGGAUGAGCUCGCGGCCUAUCAGCUUGUUGGUGGGGUAACGCCUACCAAGGCGACGACGGGUAGCCGGCCUGAGAGGGCGACCGGCCACACUGGGACUGAGACACGGCCCAGACUCCUACGGGAGGCAGCAGUGGGGAUAUUGCGCAAUGGGCGAAAGCCUGACGCAGCGACGCCGCGUGGGGAUGAAGGCCUUCGGGUUGUAAACCCAUUUCAGCAGGGACGAAGCGAAAGUGACGGUACUGCAGAGAAGCGCCGGCUAACUACGCGCCAGCAGCCGC
Molecule: ribosomal RNA, 469 nt
Filed under: uncultured bacterium
Lineage: Bacteria
Description: SSU rRNA
Rfam family: Bacterial small subunit ribosomal RNA
Source: RNAcentral